AUGUUUAAGUUUAAUCAGUUGCUUCAUUGAUCUGUCCUCCAGGGCAGGAAUAGUAAUGAUGGCCCCAAUAACAACAUCUAUGGAAAAUCAGUGGUAGUGGAUGGAACUUGGAAGAGGAGAACUGAGAGACACAAAUGAAGAAGACCCAGGCUUAGUUUCAUCUGUAUGCCAAUGUUGCCGGAAGCUGUUCCUGCAUCUGAAUAUAUAAGGAUGGACACAUUACAAAGUCAUUUGCUGAACUAACCUCAACGGAACUUAGAAACCAGAUGUCCCAAAAAAGAAAGGACAUUAGCAGCAUGUCAUGGUACCUCCCUGACAGCCUGAUAAAUUGUCUCCUUCCUCGUCCUUCAACCACCCUUACUACUGACUGAGAAGUUGGAGCAUCCAGCCUGCUGUGAGCCCUGAC
RNAcentral lists this long non-coding RNA (406 nucleotides) under Marmota monax (woodchuck). The record is from RNAcentral. Lineage: Eukaryota; Metazoa; Chordata; Mammalia; Rodentia; Sciuridae.